Molecule: ribosomal RNA, 505 nt
Filed under: uncultured bacterium
Lineage: Bacteria
Description: partial 16S ribosomal RNA
Rfam family: Bacterial small subunit ribosomal RNA
Source: RNAcentral
GACGAACGCUGGCGGCGUGCCUAAUACAUGCAAGUAGAACGCACAGUUCAUACCGUAGCUUGCUACAACAUAGACUGUGAGUUGCGAACGGGUGAGUAACGCGUCGGUAACCUGCCUGGUAGCGGGGGAUAACUAUUGGAAACGAUCGCUAAUACCGCAUAAUAUUAAUUAUUGCAUGAUAAUUAAUUGAAAGGUGCACUUGCACCACUACCAGAUGGACCUGCGGUGUAUUAGCAAGUAGGUGAGGUAACGGCUGACCCAGGCGAUGAUACAUAGCCGAACGGGGAGGGUGAGGGACGACACUGGGACUGGGACAGGGCCCAGACCCCUACGGGAAGCAGCAGUAGGGGAUAUGCGGCAAGAGACGAAAGUGUGACCGAGAAACGCCGAAGGAGUGAGGAGGGUGUUCGGAUCAUAGAGCUUUGUUGGAAUAGAAGAGCGAGUGUGGGAGGGGAAAGGUCACUCUGUGACGGUAUCUUACCAAUAAGGAACGGCUAACUACGUG